Molecule: long non-coding RNA, 720 nt
Organism: Cyprinus carpio carpio
Lineage: Eukaryota; Metazoa; Chordata; Actinopteri; Cypriniformes; Cyprinidae
Source: Ensembl
UUUUAAGAGCUUUUUAAAAUAAAAUAUUACCGCGAAUGCACACAAUCCACCCAUUAGAACACAACAAGAGCUAAAUUCAGUUAUUUGUGAGCUGUUUGAUUGUGAAAAUUUAAAGACUAUUUGACAGCGCGAGACUGUCUAAGGGCAGAAUAACAUCGAUCUCUCGAGCUCCAGAGGACGCUGAUUCUGUCAAGAACGAACAAAUCAAGAACAAGGUUAUUUCAAAAUACAUAAUAGCUUGGCGAAUAUAAACGAAAACAGUCACGUGAACAUAAACAGUUGAGAAAUAAAUCUGAAGUGUAUCAUGAUACUGGAUUUGAAUAUUAAAGUGACUGCAUUUACCAGCUGCUUUCUGUCUUUAAUUUUAAUCUAUAAAAACAGAAAAUCAUUCGUCUUGGCUGCUUUUUUUGUAUGUAUUCAUGUAUUUAUUAUUAUUAUUAUUAUUAUUAUUAUUAUUAUGCUCUAACAAGAAUUAAUCUAUAUUUAAUUAAAUUAAAUUUCUGCAUCUAAACACCUAUAAACCUAAAACAUGCUCUAUUAAACUAUUGUUAGCAAUUUCUUUAUCGUCCAGUUUAACUGGUGUACACACUUUUAUUUUCAUAAUAAAUUUGUUUUUUUUUAGAUAAUAGACAGUUACAGUGGUCUAUAAUAAAUAUUAACAGGUUUUGUUCAAGCUGCUUAAAAUGUUUGAAGUAGGCUCAUUUUUUUAAAUGUAAAUCC